This 616-nucleotide ribosomal RNA is filed under the name uncultured euryarchaeote. RNAcentral describes it as "bacterial SSU rRNA". It matches the Rfam family "Archaeal small subunit ribosomal RNA", at positions 244 to 865 of the family's 1478-position model. Lineage: Archaea; Methanobacteriati; Methanobacteriota. The record is from RNAcentral.
UGGAUUCAACAAGCCUGCAAUCGGUACGGGUUGUGAGAGCAAGAGCCCGGAGAUGGGUUCUGAGAAAAGAACCCAGGUCCUACGGGACGCAUCAGGCGCGAAAACUUUACAAUGUGCGAAAGCACGAUAAGGGAACUCUGAGUGCCUCCUAUGGAGGCUGUUCAGGUGUCUAAAAAGCACUUGAAGUAAGGGCUGGGUAAGACCGGUGCCAGCCGCCGCGGUAACACCGGCAGCCCAAGUGGUAGCCACGAUUAUUGGGUCUAAAGCGUCCGUAGCCGGCCAGGUAAGUUCUUUGGGAAAUUUAGCCGCUCAACGGUUAAGCUUUCAGGGAAUACUGCUUGGCUUGGGACCGGGAGAGGUCAGAGGUACUUCAAGGGUAGGGGUGAAAUCCGUUAAUCCUUGAGGGACCACCAGUAGCGAAGGCGUCUGACCAGACCGGGUCCGACGGUGAGGGACGAAGGCUAGGGUCGCGAACCGGAUUAGAUACCCGGGUAGUCCUAGCUGUAAACGAUGCGGGCCAGGUGUUGGCAUUACUGCGAGUGAUGUCAGUGCCGAAGGGAAGCCGUUAAGCCCGCCAUCUGGGGAGUACGGUCGCAAGGCUGAAACUUAAAGGAAU